UGCAAUGAAACGUCCACG
This 18-nucleotide small nuclear RNA is filed under the name Arabidopsis thaliana (thale cress). Its description in RNAcentral is "snRNA_00187". The record is from RNAcentral. Lineage: Eukaryota; Viridiplantae; Streptophyta; Magnoliopsida; Brassicales; Brassicaceae.